RNAcentral lists this ribosomal RNA (428 nucleotides) under uncultured Myxococcales bacterium. RNAcentral describes it as "bacterial SSU rRNA". It matches the Rfam family "Bacterial small subunit ribosomal RNA", at positions 355 to 776 of the family's 1533-position model. The record is from RNAcentral. Lineage: Bacteria; Pseudomonadati; Myxococcota; Myxococcia; Myxococcales.
UGGGGAAUUUUGCGCAAUGGGCGAAAGCCUGACGCAGCGACGCCGCGUGGGUGAUGAAGGCCUUCGGGUUGUAAAGCCCUGUGGGGAGGGAAGAAUAAGGGUGUUCGAAUAGGGCAUCUGAUGACGGUACCUCCUUAGCAAGCACCGGCUAACUCUGUGCCAGCAGCCGCGGUAAGACAGAGGGUGCAAACGUUGUUCGGAAUUACUGGGCGUAAAGCGCGUGUAGGCGGCCAAGCAAGUCGGGUGUGAAAGCCCUUGGCUCAACUGAGGAAGAGCACUCGAAACUGCGUGGCUUGAGUUCCGGAGAGGAUGGUGGAAUUCUCGGUGUAGAGGUGAAAUUCGUAGAUAUCGAGAGGAACACCGGUGGCGAAGGCGGCCAUCUGGACGGAAACUGACGCUGAGACGCGAAAGCAUGGGGAGCAAACAGG